AUCGAACGCUGGCGGCAUGCUUUACACAUGCAAGUCGAACGGCAGCGCGUGCUUCGGCCUGGCGGCGCGUGGCGAACGGGUGAGUAAUACAUCGGAACGUGCCCAGUUGUGGGGGGUAGCUCGGCGAAAGCCGGAUUAAUACCGCAUACGACCUGAGGGUGACAGCGGGGGAUCUUCGGGUCACGGGCUUAAGGAGCGGCCGAUGUCAGAUUUGACAGUUGGUGGGGUUAGGGCCUACCAAGGCGACGAUCUGUAGCUGGUCUGAGAGGAUGACCAGCCAGACUGGGACUGAGACACGGCCGAGACUCCUACGGGAGGCAGCAGUGGGGAAUAUUGGACAAUGGGGGCAACCCUGAUCCAGCCAUGCCGCGUGAGUGAUGACGGCCUUAGGGUUGUAAAGCUCUUUUCUCCGGGACGAUAAUGACGGUACCGGAGGAAUAAGCCCCGGCUAACUUCGUG
Molecule: ribosomal RNA, 459 nt
Filed under: uncultured bacterium
Lineage: Bacteria
Description: partial 16S ribosomal RNA
Rfam family: Bacterial small subunit ribosomal RNA
Source: RNAcentral